AGUGAACGCUGGCGGUAGGCCUAACACAUGCAAGUCGAACGGCAGCACAGUAAGAGCUUGCUCUUACGGGUGGCGAGUGGCGGACGGGUGAGGAAUACAUCGGAAUCUACUUUUUCGUGGGGGAUAACGUAGGGAAACUUACGCUAAUACCGCAUACGACCUACGGGUGAAAGCAGGGGAUCUUCGGACCUUGCGCGAUUGAAUGAGCCGAUGUCGGAUUAGCUAGUUGGCGGGGUAAAGGCCCACCAAGGCGACGAUCCGUAGCUGGUCUGAGAGGAUGAUCAGCCACACUGGAACUGAGACACGGUCCAGACUCCUACGGGAGGCAGCAGUGGGGAAUAUUGGACAAUGGGCGCAAGCCUGAUCCAGCCAUACCGCGUGGGUGAAGAAGGCCUUCGGGUUGUAAAGCCCUUUUGUUGGGAAAGAAAAGCAGCAGGUUAAUACCCCGCUGUUCUGACGGUACCCAAAGAAUAAGCACCGGCGAACCUCGG
Molecule: ribosomal RNA, 491 nt
Filed under: uncultured bacterium
Lineage: Bacteria
Description: partial 16S ribosomal RNA
Rfam family: Bacterial small subunit ribosomal RNA
Source: RNAcentral